UUUUUUUUUUUUUCCUUUUCACGUGCUUUCUACUCAUGUGUGUUAAUCUUAUUAACAGUAAUACAUGCCUUAAUAUGCUUUACUUCAUCUCUUACAGGUGGUUAAUAUAUGAAGAUCUUUGCCAGGAGGAACAAGAAAAGGAAGUUAAAGGUGCCGUGUUCUUGAGGAGAUGGAUACUGAAAGAUGGGAGAAGAAAAAUCAUUGGGAAGGUUCCUGUGAAAAACAGAAGUGGAAGCUGGAUGUGGUGGGAGUCUGACUAUAAGAGAUGCUGUCCACCUCAGGUGGUAAGGAUGGUCUUCUCCUUGUCAGUCCAGAUGCACCUUCCAUGAGGUGUACUGGGUGGGAUGAUUUCCACAUCUGCUGUUCUUGCAACAUAUGCAGUUAGGGGGAAUGGUAUGCUGGAGUCAAGCCUAAGUAGGUGAUGGUGGAUUGCUGGGUUAAAUACUGAG
Molecule: long non-coding RNA, 449 nt
Filed under: Struthio camelus australis
Lineage: Eukaryota; Metazoa; Chordata; Aves; Struthioniformes; Struthionidae
Description: lncRNA (ENSSCUG00000014984.1)
Source: RNAcentral